This 253-nucleotide ribosomal RNA is filed under the name uncultured bacterium. Its description in RNAcentral is "partial 16S ribosomal RNA". It matches the Rfam family "Bacterial small subunit ribosomal RNA", at positions 524 to 776 of the family's 1533-position model. The record is from RNAcentral.
UACGUAGGGGGCUAGCGUUGUCCGGAAUCAUUGGGCGUAAAGCGCGUGUAGGCGGCUCGGUAAGUCCGCUCUGAAAGCCCGGGGCUCAACCCCGGGAGGCGGGUGGAUACUGUCGAGCUCGAGUCCGGAAGAGGCAAGUGGAAUUCCCGGUGUAGCGGUGAAAUGCGCAGAUAUCUGGAGGAACACCGGUGGCGAAGGCGGCUACCUGGCCCAACAUUGACGCUGAGACCCGAAAGCAUGGGGAUCAAACAGG